GACGAAUGCUGGCGGCGUGCUUAACACAUGCAAGUGGAGCGACGAACCGGGGCUUGCCUCGGGGCAGAGCCGCGAACGGGUGAGUAACACGUGGGUAACCCACCCGAUGACCGGGACAACCCGAGGAAACUCGGGCUAAUACCGGAUGUGCUCCUUGACCUCGAGGUCAAGGCGUAAAGAUAGCUUCGGCCUUCGCAUCGGGACGGCCCGCGGCCCAUUAGCUUGUUGGUGGGUAAAGGCCUACCAAGGCGACGAUGGGUAGCUGGUCUGAGAGGACGAUCAGCCACACUGGGACUGAGAC
This 301-nucleotide ribosomal RNA is filed under the name uncultured bacterium. RNAcentral's name for it is "bacterial SSU rRNA". It matches the Rfam family "Bacterial small subunit ribosomal RNA", at positions 28 to 325 of the family's 1533-position model. The record is from RNAcentral.